RNAcentral lists this ribosomal RNA (501 nucleotides) under uncultured bacterium. Its description in RNAcentral is "partial 16S ribosomal RNA". It matches the Rfam family "Bacterial small subunit ribosomal RNA", at positions 30 to 523 of the family's 1533-position model. The record is from RNAcentral.
AUUGAACGCUGGCGGCAGGCUUAACACAUGCAAGUCGAGCGGGGGAAGGUAGCUUGCUACCGGACCUAGCGGCGGACGGGUGAGUAAUGCUUAGGAAUCUGCCUAUUAGUGGGGGACAACAUCUCGAAAGGGAUGCUAAUACCGCAUACGUCCUACGGGAGAAAGCAGGGGAUCUUCGGACCUUGCGCUAAUAGAUGAGCCUAAGUCGGAUUAGCUAGUUGGUGGGGUAAAGGCCUACCAAGGCGACGAUCUGUAGCGGGUCUGAGAGGAUGAUCCGCCACACUGGGACGGAGACACGGCCCAGACUCCUACGGGAGGCAGCAGUGGGGAAUAUUGGACAAUGGGGGGAACCCUGAUCCAGCCAUGCCGCGUGUGUGAAGAAGGCCUUAUGGUUGCAAAGCACUUUAAGCGAGGAGGAGGCUACUUUAGUUAAUACCUAGAGAUAGUGGACGUUACUCGCAGAAUAAGCACCGGCUAACUCUGUGCCAGCCGCCGCCGUAA